Molecule: ribosomal RNA, 496 nt
Filed under: uncultured bacterium
Lineage: Bacteria
Description: bacterial SSU rRNA
Rfam family: Bacterial small subunit ribosomal RNA
Source: RNAcentral
CGCUGGCGGCGUGCUUAACACAUGCAAGUCGAACGGAGCACCCUUGAUUGAGGUUUCGGCCAAAUGAUAGGAAUGCUUAGUGGCGGACUGGUGAGUAACGCGUGAGGAACCUGCCUUUCAGAGGGGGAUAACUGCUCGAAAGGGUGGCUAAUACCGCAUGAGACCUGAGGGUGAAAGCGGGGGAUCGCAAGACCUCGCGCAAUUGGAGCGGCCGAUGCCCGAUUAGCUAGUUGGUGAGGUAAAGGCUCACCAAGGCGACGAUCGGUAGCUGGUCUGAGAGGACGACCAGCCACACUGGGACUGAGACACGGCCCAGACUCCUACGGGAGGCAGCAGUGGGGAAUUUUGGACAAUGGGGGCAACCCUGAUCCAGCCAUGCCGCGUGCAGGAUGAAGGCCUUCGGGUUGUAAACUGCUUUUGUCAGGGACGAAAAGGACCGUGUUAAUACCAUGGUCUGCUGACGGUACCUGAAGAAUAAGCACCGGCUAACUACGUG